Molecule: RNA transcript, 2821 nt
Organism: Cryptomeria japonica (Japanese cedar)
Lineage: Eukaryota; Viridiplantae; Streptophyta; Pinopsida; Cupressales; Cupressaceae
Gene name: protein DETOXIFICATION 33
Exons: 10
Source: RefSeq, a predicted model, not a curated record
UUAAUAUAAUUUGUUUGGUUUUAUAACCCUUCUCUUUCAUAUAGUGGGCUAGUUCAAAUAGUAGUAUUUUAGGCAAGAUUUAUGGCAAAAGAUCUAAAACUACAAAGUAAAUUACCAGAUAUACCUACCUGAGACGAUACUAUCUGAAGUAUUUGUUUACCAAACAGAAAUCGUUUAAUCCUGUAAAUCUGAUUAAAAGCUUUAAUCUAUUCAUUCGUUUGUCUAUUUAAGGAACGUGCAAAUGCGUAGUGUCCAAGCAUAUUUGAAGGAAUUCAAAUCUAUGCGGCUAUAAGAUACUUUCAUAGCUCCUUAAAUCUGCAAUUGGCCAGUCUAUCAUUUCUAGUAUCCUAAUCCUAAUGGGUACUGAAUUGCGAUCGGCUGCUGUUGAUCCAUCAUUUCUGGUUAGGGUUCUGAAAUAACUCCAUUACUGUUAUACAAACAUCCAUUUUGGUAUUGUCAAUUAUCAUUUACUGUAUCUUAUUUCAUGUGGGUACUGAGAUAGUUAUAUAAUUUCAUAAACAUCCAAGCGGGUACUGUUCAAUCAUCAUCUCUAGAAGCCUAAUUGAUUGGGGUAUUGAGAUUGAGCAGUGGAAAUUGUGAAAUUUUCCCACCUAGUAAUGGAAAAAUCUCCCACAACCCCACUUUUGGUACCAUCUGACCUUGAGGGAUGCCAACAAGAAGUGCCUUGUCUGGAAGACUACGUCCCUGCAACUUUUUCCAAAAAUUUAGGCAGAGAAAUUUGGGAGGAGUCCAAAAAGGUGUUGAGCUUGGCUGCUCCUGUGGGAUUUAACAGGGUAUCCACCUAUGCCUUUGGGGUUGUCACUCAGGCUUAUGCUGGUCAAUUCGGCACUGUGGAACUUGCUGCCGUGUCCUUGGCUACUAGUACCAUUGGGGGAAUCUCCUUUGGGCUCAUGACAGGGAUGUCAAGUGCACAACAGACAUUAUCUGGUCAAGCAUUUGGUGCAAAGAAAUUCAACCUUCUUGGGAUUUACCUGCAGCAAUCUUUUAUAGUAAUGAAUGUAACUGCACUUUUAUUCAGUUUAGUGUAUCUUUUUGCAGCACCUCUUCUAAAGGUGCUGGGGCAAUCAGAACAGGUGGCUGACCUGACUGGACAGUUUGCCCUUUGGUCCCUUCCUCAGCUAUUUGCAUAUGCAAACUAUUUUCCUACUCAGAAGUUCUUCCAAUCACAACGAAAAGUCAUCGUCCAGGCCACGAUCUGUGCAGGUUCAUUGGCUUGCCAUGUUUUCUUGAAUUGGUUGCUAAUCACUAAGCUUGGGUUUGGACUCCUUGCGCUGGCUAUGGCCUUGAAUGCAUCCUGGUGGUUAGUUGUUAUAGGACAGUUUUUAUAUGUUGUGAUUGGACCGUUCCCAGAAACAUGGACUGGUUUCUCAGUUGAUAUCUUUCACGAUGUUUGGAGCUUUUUAAAGCUUUCAGCUUCAUCCGCUGUGAUGGCAUGUGUGGACCUCUGGUACUAUAGAGUUUUGGCUCUUUUAACUGGAAUUCUGAACAAUCCAGCAAUCGCAGUGGAUUCAUAUUCUAUAUGUUUAAGUGUAUAUGAAGGGCUCAUGAUGUUCAAUAGCCGUGCUGCAACAAGUGUCAUAAUAUCAAAUGAAUUAGGAGCUGGGCGUCCAAAGCGUACACUAUUUGCUGCCUAUGUUUGUCUAGGCAUAGCGAUGACAUUUGGGACUAUAUUUUUCACUUGCAUUCUCAUAGCUAGACAUGAUAUAGCAUCCAUGUUCACCAGCAAUGCCACUGUUGGUCACAUGGUGUAUGAGUUGUCAAUAUUCCUCGCAUUUACACUGCUUAUCAAUAGUGCUCAACCAGUUCUUUCAGGAGUAGCAGUUGGUGCAGGAUGGCAAGCUUAUGUGGCUAAAGUGAACAUAGUUUGCUAUUAUUUUAUCGGUGUUCCUAUAAGUGCUUUUCUUGCGUUUAAGUGCAAUCUCCAAGUAAAGGGAAUUUGGAUGGGACUCCUGGUUGGGACUUCAUCACAGAUAUUGAUACUUGCGUUCAACACAUACAGGACGGAUUGGGCUAAAGAGGCUAAUGCAGCCAAAAAUCGUUUCAAAGUAUCAGGAAAAUCUCGUCUGUGCUCUAAAUGAAUUAUGCCUUACCUUCUUUCUGAUUUGAGAGGUACCUGGUGGAUGCUGGCUGUUGAUUAGAUCAAUUCCAAUAGUUGUCAUGGGGCUUUAGUAGGAUAUUUUGAUGAUUAUUGAGGCCCUCUCCUUGUUGAUUAAGGCUAGACCAGUGUAAAAAGUGGAAUUUAUCCACAGAAUGUCUCUUUGUAGACAAUUCUUGACAGAAUGUAAUAACUGAAAAUGCAAUCCAUCGACGAACUUCACGUCAAUGUGUAAUAAAUUGGAAUAUAUGAGGAUUAUAUUUGAAGGUGCUGAAACUUCUGCAUGUCAUGUAAAUCUUUCCCAGAAGAAUGCUCAGUUGCAACAUCAGAUGCGACUUGUGGAAAAAUGUCACAAGCAAAAGGAGAGAGUCAAAAUAUCUUCUUUUUCUCUUCUCAGAUCAUGUAGCAGCUCUUGGGAAUUAUGCUGUGGCAUUUAAUUUUACUAGCUACAGAGGCACACAAAAGCAGAUUCAUGGUAAGCAUUACCAAUUGGAUGUUUUUCUUGUAGAAAAACAACAUUUAGUGAUUGAGUUAAUGGACACAAUUAUUAAGUAUAUUUAACCAUUAACACUCGGAUAUUUAACCAUUUCACCUACAGCAGAUUUGGAUUCACAGUAAUAUAAUAUGCUUCCCUUGAGUCCAUGCAAUUUGGGCAUGAUUUUCUGAGAGAAAUUAUUCAAAAUUAAUGCAUGAAAACUUUUACAG